Molecule: long non-coding RNA, 4355 nt
Organism: Rana temporaria (common frog)
Lineage: Eukaryota; Metazoa; Chordata; Amphibia; Anura; Ranidae
Exons: 2
Source: RefSeq, a predicted model, not a curated record
AUGUCUCAGGCCAUGGGACAUAAUGGUCACUAUCGGUGACCUUCUAUUACAGAUAGUGACCAUUAUGUCCCAUGGCCUGGGACGUAUGGCUAUAGGUGAUCGUCUUUUACAGAUAGUGACCGUUAUGUCCCAUGGCCCAGAGUUUAUGGCUAUAGUUGACCUUCUAUUACCUAUAGUGACUGUUACGUCCCAUGGCCUUAAGCGUAUGUCUAUUGGUGACCUUCUAUUACAGAUAGUGACCGUUAUGUCCCAUGGCCUGGGAUGUAUGGGUAUAGGUCUGCCCCAGUACAUUGAAUGGAUGACAUUAACACAACACACAUCAACGCAAGACAUAAUAUGCUUAGAGGCCAGACGGCAAACAGGUCAGGUGUGUGAAUGGACCUUAAGACUUGUUCUGGACCUGCAGUCACUCUAGCAGCUGAUCGUGUACAAAAUCGAUUCUGCAGCAUUGAAAACCUCAUCCCAGUCACCACCAGUCUGUAGACCAUGGGUUCUCAACCUGUGGCCCUCCAGCUGUUGCAGAACUAUAAGUCCCAAUCACGCCUCUGCCUUUGUGUGUCAUGCUUGCAACAGUCAGCAGCUUGCAAUGCCUCAUGGGACAUGUAGUUCCACAAUAGCUGGAGGGCCACAGAUUGAGGACCCAGUCUGUAGACCAUUUCUGCUUGGUGGAUGCAAUGGUCUCACCUCUACCAUCCCUCUAUGUGCAAUAAUCAUUCAAUCGAUGUUUGUAGAAGUUGAUUCUUUCUUUAUUUUUCUUUGGUUAUUUGAAGUUCCUGAUGGAAUUUUCUUUGGUUCUGAAGAAAUAAUGACACAUAUCCUACAUUUCUACAAUUCCGGCUCAAGUCCUGGGUAUCUGACAUUUGGCUGAACUGUUAAAUGAUGGUCUCAUAUGGUCAUGGAGAAUGCUCUAGAAUCUCUAGUCACAAGUUCUAGGUUGUGGAACACAGAAAACCUUCAAUAACUUCAGAUAUCAAAGAUUGGCGAAAUUUCCUGGGGAAGAACAUAUAACGCCCCCCAACCCCCCACCCCUUGACGUCAAUGGGGCCACAGAGCGUUGAGCAAAUAGGCUCCUUUGGCAUCAACUUGGUUGUUCAGCCUCAAGACCAAUCAGCAAGAAGCUGUUAUUGGCUGUAUACUGUACUCUCUGUGCCUUGUCCAAUCAACAAAAAAAUCCUGAAUGUUACAUGUAAAACACAUGGACGGUAUCCUUAAAGGACAACUAUCACAAAGAAAUACUGUACUUGUUGUAUGCACAAACUGUCCCUGAUAGGUUUACAAACAAAUCAUAUCACCUAUUUGAUUAAAGUUGACAUAAUUGUUAUUAUUGGUAUAUUUAUUACGUGUUGUCACCAAUCAUGCCAUCAUGCCAUCCCAAUCAUGCCAUCCUAAUAGGAAUGCACUCAUGGUGGGUCUUGGAUUGAAAUCUUCUAAUUGUAUUGUCCAUGCGAUCCUCUGAAUGCAUGCUGAUGUUCCCUCAAUAGUACUGUCCUUAUGGGUUUCCUCCAAUGGCACUGGGCUCCCAAUUCAGUCCUCUGAAUGCAUGCUGAGCUUCCCUUGAUAGAACCAUCCCUAUGGCUCUCCUCUAAUGACACGGGGGCUCCUAACUAUAUUGUCCACACCGUCCUCUGAAUGCAUGCUGAGGUUCUCCCAUAGAACCAUCCCAAUGGGUCUCCCAUAGUAUCUACUAAGGUCCCUUUGAUAAAACCAUCCCUAUGGGUCUCCUCCAAUGGCACAGGGCUCCUAAUUCUACUGUCCACACAGUCCUCUGAAUGCAUGCUAAGCUACCCUUGAUAGAACCAUCCUUAUGGGUCUCCUCUAAUGGCACAAAGACGUCUAACUAGAUUGCCCAAACAGUCCUCUGAAUGCAUACUGAGGUUCCCAUGAUAGAACCCUUCUUAUAGGGUCUCCUCUAAUUCCAUUGUCCUCACAGUCCUCUGAAUGAAUGCUGAGGUUCCCUCAAGAGAACUAUCCCUAUGGGUCUCCUCUAAUGCCACGGGGCUCCUAACUAUAUUGUCCACACUAUCCUCUGAAUGCAUGCUGGGGUUCUCUCAUUAGAACCAUCCCAAUGGGUCUCCCCUAAUGUCUACUUAAGUUUCUUUUGAUAAAACCAUCCCUGUGGGUCUUGUCCAAUGGCACAGGGUUUCUAAUUCUAUUGUCCACACAGUCCUCUGAAUGCAUGCUGAGCUUCCCUUAAUAAAACCACCCCUAUGGGUCUCUUUGAAUGGCAUGGGGACUCCUAUCUAGAUUGUCCAAACAUUCCUCUGAAUGUAUACUGAGGUUCCCUUGAAAUAAUCAUUCUUAUCAGUCUCUUCUAAUUCUAUUGUCCCUAAUUAUAGGGUCUCUUCUAAUUAUAUUGUCCUCACAGUUCCUCUGAAUGCAUGCUGAGGAUCCCUCAAUAGAACUACCCCUUUGGUCUCCUAUAAUGCCACGGAACUCCUAACUAUACUGGUUACACAGUCCUCUAAAUGCAUGCUGAGGUUCUCUCAUCAGAACCAUUCCUAUGGGUCUCCUCUAAUGCCUAUUAAGGUUCCCUUGUUAGAACCAUUGCUAUGGGUCUCCACAAUGGCACAGGGCUCCUCACUAUAUUGCCGACUCAAUCCUCUGAAUACAUACAGAAGUUACCUUGAUAGAACCAUCCCUAUAGGUCUCUAAUGGCUCAGGGAAUCCCAACUAGAUUACCCAAACAGUCCUCUGAAUGCAUGCUGAGGUUCCCGGCCUCAAUAGAACCAUCCCUUUGGAUCUCCUCUGGUGCCUACUGAAGUUCCCUUGAUAGAACCAUCCCUAUGGGUCUUCUCUAAUGGCACAGGCCUCUUUACUAAAUUGUCGACACAGUCCUCUGAUUGCAUACUGAGGUUCGCUUGAUAGAACUCUCCCUAUGGUCUCUAAUGGCAUGGGGACGCCUAACUAGAUUUACCGAAUAGCCCUCUGAAUGCAUACUGAGGUUCCCUUGAUAGAACCAUAUUUAUAGGUCUCCCUCUAAUUAUAUUAGCCCUAAUAAUUGGAUCUCCUCUAAUUCUAUUGUCCUCACAGUCCUCUGAAUGCAUACUGAGGUUUUCUCAAUAGAACCAUGCCUUUGAGUCUCCUCUAAUGGCAUGGGGCUCCUAAUUAUAUUGUCCAAAUAGUCCUCUGAAUGCAUACUGAGGUUCUCUUGAUAUAACCAUUCUUAUGGGUCUCCUCGACAGAACCAUCCCUAUGGGUCUUCUCUAGUGCCACUGGACUCCUAAUUCUAUUGUCCUCCCAGUCCUCUAAAUGCAUGGUGAGGUUCCCUCGAUAGAACCAUCCCUAUGGGUCUCCUCUAAUGCAAACUGAGGUUAGCUUGAUAGAACCAUCCCCAUGGGUCUCCUCUAAUGGCAUUGGGCUCCUAAUUAUAUUGUCCUCCCAGUCCUCUAAAUGCAUGGUGAGGUUCCCUUGAUAGAAUCAUUCCUAUGGGUCUCCUCUAAUGCAUACUAAGGUUAGCUUGAUAGAACCAUCCCUUUGGGUCUCUAAUGGCAUGGGGACUCCUAACUAGAUUGUCCAAAUAGUCCUCUGAAUGCAUACUGAGGUUCUCUUGAUAUAACCAUUCUUAUAGGUCUCCUCGACAGAACCAUACCUAUGGGUCUUCUCUAAUGGCACUGGGCUCCUAAUUCUAUUGUCCACACGAUACUCCAAAUGCAUGGCGAGGUUCCCUUGAUAGAACCAUCCCUAUGGGUCUCCUCUAAUGCAUACUGAGGUUAGCUUGAUAGAACCAUCCCUUUGGGUCUCCUCUAAUGGUAUUGGGCUCCUAAUUAUAUUGUCCAAAUAGUCCUCUGAAUGCAUACUGAGGUUCUCUUGAUAUAACCAUUCUUAUGGGUCUCCUCGACAGAACCAUCCCUAUGGGUCUUCUCUAGUGCCACUGGACUCCUAAUUCUAUUGUUCACAUGAUCCUCAGAAUGCAUGUUGAGGUUCCCUUGAUAGAACCAUCCCUAUGGGUCUCCUCUAAUGCAUACUGAGGUUAGCUUGAUAGAACCAUCCCUUUGGGUCUCUAAUGGCAUGGGGACUCCUAACUAGAUUGUCCACACCGUCCUCUGAAUGCAUGCUGAGGUUCUCUUAUAGGUCUCCUCGACAGAACCAUACCUAUGGGUCUUCUCUAAUGGCACUGGGCUCCUAAUUCUAUUGUCCACACGAUACUCCAAAUGCAUGGUGAUGGUUCCCUUGAUAGAACCAUCCCUAUGGGUCUCCUCUAAUGCAUAUUGAGGUUAGCUUGAUAGAACCAUCCCUUUGGGUCUCCUCUAAUGGCAUGGGGCUCCUAAUUCUAUUGUCCAGGCGAUCCUCUGAAUGCAUGUUGAGGUUCCCUCGAUAGAACCAUCCCUAUGGGUCUCCUCUAAUGGUAUUGGGCU